Small nuclear RNA from Betta splendens (Siamese fighting fish), 104 nucleotides. NCBI's taxonomy places the organism in Eukaryota, Metazoa, Chordata, Actinopteri, Anabantiformes, Osphronemidae. The record is from Ensembl.
GUUACAGCCUGUUAACACGUGAUAAUGUGGAAUAAUACAGAGAAGGUCAGCAUGGCCCCUGGUGCAAGCAUGUCAUGUGUGAAGUAGAAGUGUAGCUGAAGUAU